GACAGAGGUCUCAAGCGUUGUUCGGAUUUAUUGGGCGUAAAGAGCGUGUAGGCGGCCAUGUAGGUCCGUUGUGAAAACUCGAGGCUCAACCUCGAGACGCCGAUGGAAACCAUGUGGCUAGAGUCCGGAAGAGGAGAGUGGAAUUCCUGGUGUAGCGGUGAAAUGCGCAGAUAUCAGGAAGAACACCCGUGGCGAAGGCGGCUCUCUGGGACGGUACUGACGCUGAGACGCGAAAGCGUGGGGAGCGAACAGG
This 253-nucleotide ribosomal RNA is filed under the name uncultured bacterium. RNAcentral's name for it is "partial 16S ribosomal RNA". It matches the Rfam family "Bacterial small subunit ribosomal RNA", at positions 524 to 776 of the family's 1533-position model. The record is from RNAcentral.